RNAcentral lists this transfer RNA (69 nucleotides) under Rattus norvegicus (Norway rat). It matches the Rfam family "tRNA". From Rfam's summary of the family: Transfer RNA (tRNA) molecules are approximately 80 nucleotides in length. The record is from Rfam by way of RNAcentral. Lineage: Eukaryota; Metazoa; Chordata; Mammalia; Rodentia; Muridae.
GGGGAUUUGGCUCAGUGGUAGAGUGCUUGCCUAGUAAGCAAAAGGCCCUGGGUUCGGUUUUCAGCUCCG